This is a long non-coding RNA of Amphimedon queenslandica, 239 nucleotides long. RefSeq lists it as uncharacterized. The record is from RefSeq and is a predicted model, not a curated record. NCBI's taxonomy places the organism in Eukaryota, Metazoa, Porifera, Demospongiae, Haplosclerida, Niphatidae. The transcript is spliced from 3 exons.
ACUAUCGCUAUCUUGUUAAUAAGGAGUUUGUGAGUGUGAUAGAAGCUAGUGCAAAGGUAACAGGUGCAGUGAAUGAAGCAGAGUGGGUACUCCUUUAUCAAGGGAUUGCUAGAGGGCUGGGCAAUCUAGACACUAACAUAACAGCUUGUGUUAAAGAUGGCAACAACACUAUUGAUGCUUUUAAAGAAUCCUUUAAAGCUUUUGAAGACCGACAGAUAAUUAAAGGACUCCAAUUGUUU